GGGAGCAGAUGGGGAAGGAGGGGAAUUCCUGCAGCCUGGCCUCAGAGCAGAUAGGUGAGUGGCAGGCAGAGGAGUCCACUCCGCAGCCACCGUUGGUAAUCGAUCCCAGAUGUUGCGCUGGCCCCCAGCCCAGCCCCAGGCAUGGCUCCUGCGCCCGCUCCUACAUCUGAGUAUGAAAGGAGGAAUCGAAGACCAGAGGGAAGUAACUUGCCCAAGGACACGCAACAAGCUGGACCCACAGCAGGACUGAAUCCUAGGGCUCUUGGUUCCUGUUCAGAGCCCUUCACAGCACCACACUCUGCCUCUGGUUCCCACAACCUUGACCAAGAGCUGGGCUUCCUGGGGGAGCUGUCUUUUGCAGGGCUUGGAACAAGAUGAGAAUCACAGACUAGCACACAGGCAGGAGGAAGUGCUUGUAUUGUAUUGUAUUGUAUUGUAUUGUAUUGUACUGUACUGUACUGUAUUGUACUGUAUUUUUUUGAGAUGGAGUUUCACUCUUGCCCAGGCUGGAGUGCAGUGGCACCAUCUCAGCUCACUGCAAUCUCCACUUCCCAGGUUCAAGUCAUUCUCCUGCCUCAGCCUCCUGAGUAGCUGGGAUUACAGACGUGUGCCACCAUGCCUGGCUAACUUUUGUAUUUUUAGUAGAGACAGCGUUUCAUCAUGUUGGUCAGGCUGGUCUUGAACUUCUGACCUCAUGAUCCGCCCACCUUUGCCUCCCAAAGUGCUGGGAUUACAGGUGUGAGCCACCGUGCCCGGCCACGAAGUGCUUUUAAUGAUGAGACUUCUAUUCAAAGACCGGUGUGUGGGGAAGGCUACGCCACAGUGGGGCUAGCAGACAGCAUGGACUGCAUCUCUACUGAGUGCCCAGCCCUGGAAUCCCAAAGGGGAUAAACUCUGUCCUCAAGGAACAAACUAACAAAAAAGUGAAAAACAGCACAGGGGAAUAGUGGGCGUCAUGGGGGUGGGGGUGGGGUGGGCGUAGUAUGAGCAUCUGGGGUAAGAGUGUCAGCAGAGGGAAUAGUGAGUGCAAAGGCCCUGAGACAGGAGUGUGCUUAGCCUGCUAAUGUGUCCAGGGAACCUAUGGCAGGGGAGAAAAACAUAGGAGGCAUGUUAGAGAAGGUAGGUGCAGAUGAUGUGGGACCCUACGGCUGUUGUAAGAGCCUGGCUCUUCCUCCCACUGCAAUGGGGAAGCGGAGGUGGGGGUGCAGUUUAAGGAGAAGACUGGCACCAUCCGAAUUCUACAGCAUCUUCCUGCCACUCAGUGGAAAGAGUACCCCAUGGGGGAAGGGGAUGCAGGAAGACCAGGAAGGAAGGCACCACAGUCCUCCCAGGGAGAGGGGGUGAAGACAGGAACCAGGGGCUCACCGUAGAGGGGGUGAGAAGUGAUCAGAUUCUGGACGUAUUUUGAAAGUAGAGCCAACAAGAUGGUUUGAGAGUUGCGUGUGGGGUAUGGGAGAAAGAGAACAGUCAAGUAUGUCUCCGGUUUUAAGACUACAGAAGGCACAGGCUUGGGGACAGACCAGGUUCAUCUGAACAUCGAACCCGCUGAAUUUGAGGGGGCAGUUAUCAGUGCCUGAUGAGUGAUACUACAGGAACAAUCCGGGAGACUGAUCAGGUGUCUGUUUAAAAUUAUAGGGUUUUGCUCAUCAUUAAUUUUUUGUUGCAUUGUUUGAUUUAUUAAAAUAUUAUAUUCA
This 1694-nucleotide long non-coding RNA is filed under the name Macaca mulatta (Rhesus monkey). Its description in RNAcentral is "lncRNA (ENSMMUG00000062100.1)". The record is from RNAcentral. Lineage: Eukaryota; Metazoa; Chordata; Mammalia; Primates; Cercopithecidae.